AUUGAACGCUGGCGGCAUGCCUUACACAUGCAAGUCGAACGGUAACGGGCCUUCGGGUGCCGACGAGUGGCGAACGGGUGAGUAAUACAUCGGAACGUGCCCGAUCGUGGGGGAUAACGAGGCGAAAGCUUUGCUAAUACCGCAUACGAUCUACGGAUGAAAGCAGGGGACCGCAAGGCCUUGCGCGGACGGAGCGGCCGAUGGCAGAUUAGGUAGUUGGUGGGAUAAAAGCUUACCAAGCCGACGAUCUGUAGCUGGUCUGAGAGGAUGAUCAGCCACACUGGGACUGAGACACGGCCCAGACUCCUACGGGAGGCAGCAGUGGGGAAUUUUGGACAAUGGGCGCAAGCCUGAUCCAGCCAUGCCGCGUGCAGGAUGAAGGCCUUCGGGUUGUAAACUGCUUUUGUACGGAACGAAAAGCCUUCUUUUAAUACAGGAGGGUCAUGACGGUACCAUAAGAAUAAGCACCGGCUAACUACGUG
Molecule: ribosomal RNA, 482 nt
Filed under: uncultured bacterium
Lineage: Bacteria
Description: partial 16S ribosomal RNA
Rfam family: Bacterial small subunit ribosomal RNA
Source: RNAcentral